Molecule: long non-coding RNA, 350 nt
Organism: Hibiscus syriacus
Lineage: Eukaryota; Viridiplantae; Streptophyta; Magnoliopsida; Malvales; Malvaceae
Exons: 2
Source: RefSeq, a predicted model, not a curated record
CGCGCGCGCAAGCAAAGUUCAGAUCCCCGGUUUUCUUUUUGUUGAAGUGAAAUCCGAAAAUCCAUCCGCUCAAUGGCGCAACUGGCAGAACUAGAUGAACCGAAAUCGAAGUUGUAUAAGCAGCAGAAAAGAAAUCAUGGAUCAACCAAGUUUUUCGUAACGGUGGACUACAUUUUCCUCUUCAUCUUCUUCGCUUUCCUCACUUUCAUUCUCCUCAAAAUACUUCAUCUCCUCUGAUUGUUUCUUCCACUUUCUGCCUAUCAGGUAUUCUGAAUCAGUUGGUACGAUUAUGUAAUCUUCCUUGUUAAUGACACUUUGGAAAGGAAUUCAUCGGAACAUUGUUUUUGUUA